Molecule: long non-coding RNA, 286 nt
Organism: Varroa destructor (honeybee mite)
Lineage: Eukaryota; Metazoa; Arthropoda; Arachnida; Mesostigmata; Varroidae
Source: RefSeq, a predicted model, not a curated record
UGCCAUUUACUGCUUUUUAUUUAUGCCUCACGUAAUGACGAGCACCGUUUGCGUUCCUGGGUCCAACACUGUGAUUGUUUGUAAAGUUGAAUUAUCAAAUGGUAACACGUGUCGCCUCUCAGAAUGCAGUCGUUUAAUAUUGGCUAGCUUUGUCAACUGAUGGCUCAAAAAAUUGGACUCUACGAAGGAGAUCGUCUCUGCUAUGGAGAACUCACUGAGUCGACUAUCCUCUCGUAUCCGCCCUUCUUCCCGUUUCGAGUUUCAUCAGCUUCUAGGUCAUGGGCUA